RNAcentral lists this ribosomal RNA (465 nucleotides) under uncultured bacterium. RNAcentral's name for it is "partial 16S ribosomal RNA". It matches the Rfam family "Bacterial small subunit ribosomal RNA", at positions 338 to 795 of the family's 1533-position model. The record is from RNAcentral.
CCUACGGGAGACAGCAGUAGGGAAUCUUCCACAAUGGACGAAAGUCUGAUGGAGCAACGCCGCGUGAGUGAAGAAGGGUUUCGGCUUGUAAAGCUCUGUUGGUAGUGACGAAAGAUAGAGGUAGUAACUGGCCUGUAUUUGACGAUAAUUACUUAGCAAGUCCCGGCUAACUACGUGCCAGCAGCCGCGGUAAUACGUAGGUGGCAAGCGUUGUCCGGAUUUAUUGGGCGUAAAGCGAGUGAAGGCGGUUCGAUAAGUCUGAUGUGAAAGCUUUCGGCUCAACCGGUGAAUUGCAUCAGAAACUGUUGAACUUGAGUGCAGAAGAGGAGAGUGGAACUCCAUGUGUAGCGGUGGAAUGCGUAGAUAUAUGGAAGAACACCAGUGGCGAAGGCGGCUCUCUGGUCUGCAACUGACGCUGAGGCUCGAAAGCAUGGGUAGCGAACAGGAUUAGAUACCCUGGUAGUC